This is a long non-coding RNA of Vidua macroura (Pin-tailed whydah), 294 nucleotides long. RefSeq lists it as uncharacterized. The transcript has 3 exons. The record is from RefSeq and is a predicted model, not a curated record. Lineage: Eukaryota; Metazoa; Chordata; Aves; Passeriformes; Viduidae.
CAAAGACAACACUGCACCUCAGUGGGCAUGGACAUUUCCAUCUGCACAAAUAAUAUUCUCUACUUUUCACUCAAGCCAAUAUCCUAGACUGCAAGAGGCAGAGGGGCUAUGAUGGGCAUGCAAAAUAAGAAAUGGGUAACUUAGACACUCACUCAUCCUGGACUGAAAACUGAGACGAGUACAUCAGACACAACUGAGCAGACAGCUGCAUAAUCAAGUCUGAAUUACUGAAAAUAAGAACUUUUUCAAAGUUUCUAUCCAUGACAUUUAUGUAGCCCUUAAUGAAGAGAGAAG